Molecule: small nucleolar RNA, 138 nt
Filed under: Ornithorhynchus anatinus (platypus)
Lineage: Eukaryota; Metazoa; Chordata; Mammalia; Monotremata; Ornithorhynchidae
Source: RNAcentral
CCCCUCUCAGGGUCACACCUGGAGAGUUCCCAGUACUCUACCAGUCUCGACUACAGGAGGGAGAGUCAGGCAGAGGCAUAUCCAUUCCACUCCUAGCUUGGGCAAUGGCUAGCAAGUGGAAGACGAUCUGCUACAAGU